GCGCGUCCUGGAGCGCCCGACGAAGUUGCUGGCUCUCAGCCUCCACUUCUCUACGCCUCUUCCUCAAAACUUCGGACUCCGCCUCCGCGUCUGCGACGGCCCACCGUUCAAGUGCCAGUUGGAUCUUCACUUGUUGCAGCUCGGCUGUCUUCUCCCCGAGGGAGAUAGAAAUCCCUUCAACAGUGCCUCUCAGGGCUUGGAGCUCUACAGAAUCUUGGGCGGAAGUAAGCUGCGCCCUGUUAGCCAGCUGCCUCUAGAGAUGAACGACUUCGUCGGCUGCCAUCCGG
RNAcentral lists this long non-coding RNA (287 nucleotides) under Elaeis guineensis (African oil palm). RNAcentral's name for it is "long non-coding RNA (EGUI_LNC068978)". Lineage: Eukaryota; Viridiplantae; Streptophyta; Magnoliopsida; Arecales; Arecaceae. The record is from RNAcentral.